Molecule: non-coding RNA, 88 nt
Filed under: Candidatus Omnitrophota bacterium
Lineage: Bacteria; Pseudomonadati; Candidatus Omnitrophota
Description: Omnitrophica WOR c-di-GMP sequence
Rfam family: c-di-GMP-I-GGC riboswitch aptamer
Source: RNAcentral
AUUGUUAAAGGCAAAUCCGCCGUAAGGCGGAGACGCAAAGCCAAUGAGCCCGCCAACGAUAUGUGGCGAGGUAGUCAGGUUGCCAAAG